AUUUGCAAUUAUGGAAGCGUGAAGCGUGAAUAUUUUAUUACACAUAUGCAACGCAAGCACGACAAAACUAUGACGGCAGAUGAAUUAUAUGUAAUGUUCAAAGUAAAUACUGGCCGAACUCCAUACGUUAAGCCCGUCGACGACAUAGAAACAGCGAAGAAAGCACAUCCGGAAUACUUUGAGAGUAAUAAGUUAUAAAAAAUUUUAAUUCCUAAAAGUUAAAGUGGAUACAUUCUUUGGAUCGUUUACAGUCAACUGCUUAUACAUAUAAAUUAAACGCCUGCAAUGCGGCCUUGUACAACUGUUCGUAGCAGAUUAUUGAUGUGUAGAAGGGUUUGCUAAUUUACGUACAUGAUGGAGGUAAAAACCACUCCGUUUCUCAGUAUGCUGCGGAAGCCCUUUAAAUUGCAGCUUCAGGCCCCCCUGAAUUUUCAUUGAAAAUAUCGUACCAUUGAUUUUCACACGAUCGUUGAACACAACCAGGUAAGUACCAUUGACCUUGUUCGGAGCCUCUUUAAUUUCUUCUAUAACAGCCAGUUGAUCAUUGAUGAAUACUAUACCAUCGCUUAUCGGUGUAUUUGGUGCUAGGUUAUUAAAUGUUGCGCUGCAACUAGUGGUAGGCUCUUGGCUCUGGGUUCCGGGUUACAGUGAAAUCACUGGAAACUGCACGGUCGAGGAGCUGGACCGUGGGAAUUUGAUCAGCUCAGCGGGCGUUGGGCGAAGUUCUUGGCAUGCAAGGUGGCAAAGUCCUUUUGGCCAUGUGUAAACCUAGGGCGGUCCAGGAACCGCUUCAGUCUAAAUGCUUAAACAGACUCCAGCGUAGCAGUUAAUUCCGAGUUGAUCCGGAUCAACACUGCCGUCUGUUUAUGCUUUAAGCCAGGAACACUUCUCGCUAGUGAUGGGAGUUCUAACUGGUUGUUGUUGUUGUUGUUGUAGCGGCUACUAAGCC
Rhagoletis zephyria (snowberry fruit fly) is the source of this 949-nucleotide long non-coding RNA. RefSeq lists it as uncharacterized. NCBI's taxonomy places the organism in Eukaryota, Metazoa, Arthropoda, Insecta, Diptera, Tephritidae. The record is from RefSeq and is a predicted model, not a curated record.